Molecule: ribosomal RNA, 274 nt
Filed under: uncultured bacterium
Lineage: Bacteria
Description: partial 16S ribosomal RNA
Rfam family: Bacterial small subunit ribosomal RNA
Source: RNAcentral
GAUGAACGCUAGCGGCAGGCCUCAUACAUGCAAGUCGAGGGGCAGCAGGACACUUCGGUGUUGCUGGCGACCGGCGCACGGGUGCGUAACAUGUAUGCAAUCUACCUUGUACAGGAGGACAUUCUUGGAGACAAGAUAAAUACUCCAUAUUGUCCAAUUAGCGCAUGCUAAUUGGAUGAAAGCUUCGGCGGUACAAGACGAGCANGCACCCCAUUAGCUAGUUGGUGAGGUAACGGCUCACCAAGGCGACGAUGGGUAGGGGUUCUUAGUGGAA